ACUUUUGAAGGAUAAUAGUUAUCCAUUGAUCUUAGGCUUCAAACAAUCCUGGUGCAAAUCCGAGCAAAAGUU
Molecule: transfer RNA, 72 nt
Filed under: Cryptobranchus alleganiensis (hellbender)
Lineage: Eukaryota; Metazoa; Chordata; Amphibia; Caudata; Cryptobranchidae
Description: tRNA-Leu
Source: RNAcentral